Long non-coding RNA from Herpailurus yagouaroundi (jaguarundi), 264 nucleotides. RefSeq lists it as uncharacterized. NCBI's taxonomy places the organism in Eukaryota, Metazoa, Chordata, Mammalia, Carnivora, Felidae. The transcript is spliced from 2 exons. The record is from RefSeq and is a predicted model, not a curated record.
UGCACAAAGAUUUUGUGUGUUUGUAUUAAGAGCGCAGGCGGUCCCGGUCCACGUCUCGUGAGAGAGAACGCAGGCGCCGAGAAAGGUCCAGGUCCCGGGAGAGAGAUCGUCGAAGGAGCCGCUCUCGAUCUCCGCACAGGAGACGCUCCAGAUCCCCAAGACGGCAUAGAUCCACAUCUCCUUCCCCUUCUCGACUAAAAGAAAGAAGAGAUGAGGAAAAGAAAGAAACAAAAGAAACAAAGAGCAAAGAACGUCAGAUUACUG